UUAAAUAUGUGGAAGCUUGGCGUGAAGAACUGAGAAGCUUUUAUAGAAGAGAGGGUCCAGGGGGUGCAUCAGUAGCAGCAAUAAUAAUGUCCAGCAAUCAAAAUAAUAAAGUUUGGCAAGUAGCACAGUUGUAUAAGUUGCAUUCCAAAAUUUUGGUGGAUCAAAGAUGUAUUGUUCCAACAGUUGGUGUUAGAUUCUCAGCAAUUGACAUGGCAGAUUAUAAACCUAGAAUGUAAACUAAUACCCUCACAAAUGAGGAGGAAAGACAAGGGGCUUUGAUGCAAUUGACGCUGCUCUAUAAAGGGAUAGUGAUUGCAUCGCCUGAUUAAUUUCCUAGAGACGUUCUUGCAUUUGUCCACGGGGAAACACUCCAAGAUGACAGGGUCA
Long non-coding RNA from Papaver somniferum (opium poppy), 387 nucleotides. RefSeq lists it as uncharacterized. The record is from RefSeq and is a predicted model, not a curated record. Lineage: Eukaryota; Viridiplantae; Streptophyta; Magnoliopsida; Ranunculales; Papaveraceae. The transcript is spliced from 3 exons.